AUGGGAAAUGUUUACAUCUUUUUUCCAUUCGGAAUACACUCGGAAUACAUCGCGCAAUUUUUUAACGUUAUCAUACGGGCUUCUUAAUGGCUGAUGCAAUGCAAAAUCUCCGUAGACUUUCAAUUUUGGAAUGUGUAUUGAAAUCUGAGGCGGUAGAGGGGACGUUUGAAAACAGAUAAUCUGGACAUUUUUCAUAUUAGUGGAUGAACGUAGUUUGAGCACAAAGAAAACAGUCAUCAUGGAUGAUUUGCGCGAUACAGCGUAAGUCAUACAAUUAAGCCUCUUCUGAAAAGCAUUUGACUGUGGAUUAUAUAAAAUCUUUGGGCCCAAAGAACAUCCAGACGUUUAAAAGGUUAGGAUACAGUCAAUACAAUGUCAUGUGCUGGAGCACCAUCCACACUCUUUGGCUGCAUGAGUCUGACUGCUCAAAAGAACAAGAGGCCCUCUAAAGAUGAUGUGAACGCCAUCUACGAAAUAUAAUUCAUUUCAAAUUAACCACGUUUAGAUGCAAGGAUGGUGGAUUUCUACGUGGUAUAUUUGGAAGAAUAAUCUUUCCUUGAAGAUUUUGACGUUUCGCAUUG
This is a long non-coding RNA of Magallana angulata, 581 nucleotides long. RefSeq lists it as uncharacterized. Lineage: Eukaryota; Metazoa; Mollusca; Bivalvia; Ostreida; Ostreidae. The transcript is spliced from 3 exons. The record is from RefSeq and is a predicted model, not a curated record.